CCCUUAGAUGUUCUGGGCCGCACACGCGCUACACUGACGAAUGCAACGAGCUUAUAACCUUGGCCGAAAGGUCUGGGUAAUCUCCAAAUUUCGUCGUGAUGGGGAUAGAUUAUUGCAAUUAUUAAUCUUCAACGAGGAAUGCCUAGUAAGCGCAAGUCAUCAGCUUGCGUUGAUUACGUCCCUGCCCUUUGUACACACCGCCCGUCGCUCCUACCGAUUGAAUGGUCCGGUGAAGCGUUCGGACCGUGGCCUUUGGACGGUUCGCCGUCUGUUGGCUGCGGGAAGUUCGUUAAACCUUAUCAUUUAGAGGAAGGAGAAGUCGUNACA
Molecule: ribosomal RNA, 327 nt
Filed under: uncultured eukaryote
Lineage: Eukaryota
Description: partial 18S ribosomal RNA
Rfam family: Eukaryotic small subunit ribosomal RNA
Source: RNAcentral